GGAAGUAAAAGUCGUAACCAGGUUUCCGUAGGUGAACCUGCGGAAGGAUCAUUCAUAAUAGGUGUUUUAUGGCACUUUUUUAAAUCCAUAUCCACCUUGUGUGCAAUGUCAGGGUUGAUUUUUCUCUCGAGAGGAUCAACCCCAAACAUCAACUAUAUCUCAACUCUUUGUCUGAAAAAUAUUAUGAAUAAAACAAUUCAAAAUACAACUUUCAACAACGGAUCUCUUGGCUCUC
This 235-nucleotide unclassified non-coding RNA is filed under the name plant metagenome. RNAcentral describes it as "partial contains small subunit ribosomal RNA, internal transcribed spacer 1, and 5.8S ribosomal RNA". The stretch from base 1 to 54 matches the Rfam family "Eukaryotic small subunit ribosomal RNA", at positions 1778 to 1831 of the family's 1831-position model. The record is from RNAcentral.